Molecule: ribosomal RNA, 253 nt
Filed under: uncultured bacterium
Lineage: Bacteria
Description: partial 16S ribosomal RNA
Rfam family: Bacterial small subunit ribosomal RNA
Source: RNAcentral
UACAGAGGUCUCAAGCGUUGUUCGGAUUCAUUGGGCGUAAAGGGUGCGUAGGCGGUCGCGCAAGUCGGAUGUGAAAUCUUAGGGCUCAACCCUGAAACUGCAUUCGAUACUGCGUGGCUAGAGUACUGGAGAGGAGACUGGAAUUUACGGUGUAGCAGUGAAAUGCGUAGAUAUCGUAAGGAAGACCAGUGGCGAAGGCGAGUCUCUGGACAGUUACUGACGCUGAGGCACGAAGGCCAGGGGAGCAAACGGG